Long non-coding RNA from Uloborus diversus, 510 nucleotides. RefSeq lists it as uncharacterized. The transcript is spliced from 3 exons. NCBI's taxonomy places the organism in Eukaryota, Metazoa, Arthropoda, Arachnida, Araneae, Uloboridae. The record is from RefSeq and is a predicted model, not a curated record.
UUUGAAUAUAACUCUUGCUUCAAUUUUGCUUAGCUUCAAAAAUCUUCAAACCUCGAAAUGUAUUCUGCAGUUCUUUUCAUCAUGUUUUUAGCACUCCCAGUUCUUGCACUCAGUGGUGAUAUUCAACCAGACUCUCCAAUACUGUCUUGCGGAGAAUACGAGACGGAUUGUAAAACCUUCUGCUGUCCCCACUUCGGGAGUUGCUGUGAGGGUGGACUGGGCUGCUGCCCCAACGGAACGUACUGCACCUGGGUCUUCGGGUUGGGAAAAGUCUGCACCCGAUACGCACCCCAGAAAAAAGGACGGAAGAUGACCAUUUCAAAAAAUUCCGUCUUCCCGAAGACGGGCGCCCUCAAGACGAGAACCAAGUUCGAAAGAAUGAAUGAUUUAAAUAAAAACUAUUUUUGAAAAAAAAAAAAGCAUUUAACAUUGCCUCAGUGAAUAUGUGCAGUUUGCUUUGUUUGUUUAGUUUUGAAUUUUUCAUGCUUUCAUACCUUAAUUAGUGAAAAA